Molecule: unclassified non-coding RNA, 351 nt
Filed under: Hevea brasiliensis (rubber tree)
Lineage: Eukaryota; Viridiplantae; Streptophyta; Magnoliopsida; Malpighiales; Euphorbiaceae
Source: RNAcentral
CCCAUUACAUAUUUUAGUGAAAAGUUAAAUAGUGCGGCAUUGAACUACUCCACGUAUGACAAAGAGCUUCAUGUCUUGGUGUAAGCGUUUGAGACAUGAAAGCACUACUUGUGAUCAAAGGAGCUCCUAAUUCAUUCUGACCAUUAGUCAUUGAAACACUUGAAGGGACAAAACAAGCUCAACCAUAGGCAUGCCAAAUGGGUGGAAUUUCUUGAGACUUUUCUUUAUGUUAUUCAGUAUAAGAUAAGGAAAAAGAGGUGUGCAUUGUUCUACUGGUUUUUCACCUUUUGAAAUUGUUUAUGGGGUUUAAUCCUUUAACUCCAUUAAAUUUGAUUCCUUUGCCUGUGCAUG